RNAcentral lists this transfer RNA (95 nucleotides) under Penicillium steckii. It matches the Rfam family "tRNA". From Rfam's summary of the family: Transfer RNA (tRNA) molecules are approximately 80 nucleotides in length. Their secondary structure includes four short double-helical elements and three loops (D, anti-codon, and T loops). Lineage: Eukaryota; Fungi; Ascomycota; Eurotiomycetes; Eurotiales; Aspergillaceae. The record is from Rfam by way of RNAcentral.
GGCAGCAUGGCCGAGUGGUCUAAGGCGUUUGACUUGAAUUAUCUUCAACUCAUCAAAUCUCUUCGGAGGCGUGUGUUCGAACCACACUGCUGUCG